UGGUUUAUAUCGAAUCAACAAACGAUAACAAGAAAGGGGUUUCUCUCUUUUUCUUUUUCCUUCUGUCCUCUACAUAAACCCUAAUUGAAGAAGUCACUUCUUCUUCUUCUUCAUCUCUUCUGAUAGAUACUGUCACACCUUUCUUUCUGUUCCUAUGAUUUUAUUUCUCUUGUACUACUGGCCUGAGUUUUACCCAGCAAGAGAGAAGAAGAAAGAAGAUUUGAUGAAUGAAUGGAGUACAUGUAUAUAUCUGGUGAUUGUUUUUGUGGUACUAGUUUCAGAUCUGACUAAAUCUUCUUUAUAUGGAGAUGGUUUCCUUUUCUAUUUAAGGAAACCUUUUCUUUUUCCCUUCAAUUUUCUUUUUUUUCUUUGUUUUUCUUUUUGUUGAAAUUUUUUUCAGGGUUGACAGAAGAGAGUGAGCACACACUCGGGAAAUUUGUAUAAUUUUUAUAUACGAUUGCCGGUGCGUGCUUACUCCUCUUUCUGUCAGCUGGAAAUUACUACUUAUUUUCCUGAACUCUGCCUUUAAACCCUAGCUAGCUGCUUUAAUUUCUCUCUGUCAGCUUUUAUUAUUAAUUUCUUCUUGCAGGUUGGUCUUCUACAGCAACGCUGUGUCUUUAAAGUUGCCUUAUCUUCUGCUCCUGCCUCUGUAAUAUUAAUUAUGAAUCUAUGUGUUUGUUUCCCUGACUGACAAGUUAUGUUAUGUUAUGUUAUGUUUUGAUGAUAUGAUAUAGAUAUAUCUGUGAGACCAAGAAGAAUUCACAGGAGAAGAAGAGAAGUGGAGCAUAAGUUUAGUUUAGUGUUUCUUCUUAUUAUUAUUUUAUAGAUUGCUAUGAUAAACAGUAACUACUAGUUAGUAGUACUAUUUUUUAUAUAUAAAAAAUGGAGAUUAUACUUCCAUAGGAUUAUAUAUAUAUAUAUAUAUCAUCAACAAUGAACUGUUUGAGCAAAAAUAAAAAAUCAUCUAUUUGAACACUAUUUUAUGUUUCUGCAACUCAAGAUUAUUCAUUCAUUUACAGAUUUAUAACUUCAAUUUCUUAUUAUCUGUGAUUCUUGUUUCUGUUUAUUUGUUAUUUGAUGUAGUCAGUCAGUCAUGUUGAUCAUAUUCUCUCUUCUGUAGGCUGAGAUCUAAUAAGUUUGUAUUUAAUGUGUGUUUUUGCAACUGGCUUGCUGUUCUUCUCUUCUGCAAACUUCAAUCUGUUACUCUCUAUUUGUUGAUGCAUCUGUUGCUGAGCUUUUUUUACAAACCUUGCUGUAGCUGCGGAGGAGAACUUCCAUAAAAUAGGUCUCCUCCUUUAAGCAGAUAAGAAAUGAAAUGGACAACUGCCUUGAUCAAUCAAAAAAUCUAGGUUACUAUAGGUUACUGAGAAUGGCUGCAAGUUCAGCUCCAAAGGCAUUGUAACCACCCAUGAAAAAAGAGAAGAUAGCUCGGCAGGCACCCAUUAAAAUGAACUGAUAGAUGGAGCGCACCAACAACUGAAAGAUGAUAUAUAUAUAUAUAUAUAUAAAGAUACAAGCUGGUGUCUAGAAGAGAACGGAAAACACUGUGUCAGUAGAUUAUUGUAGAACUUCACAUCAUCUAGUCUUGACUUAGCUGCGGCUUUGCCCAAAUGUAUUCGACUGUUACUUGUGCAGUUGUUCACUACCCUAAACUUUCUAUUCUAUUUUGCAUUGCAUGCUCA
Long non-coding RNA from Papaver somniferum (opium poppy), 1682 nucleotides. RefSeq lists it as uncharacterized. The transcript is spliced from 4 exons. NCBI's taxonomy places the organism in Eukaryota, Viridiplantae, Streptophyta, Magnoliopsida, Ranunculales, Papaveraceae. The record is from RefSeq and is a predicted model, not a curated record.